CAAGUCGAACGAUGAACCCGGAGCUUGCUCCGGCGGAUUAGUGGCGAACGGGUGAGUAACACGUGAGUAACCUGCCCUUGACUCUGGGAUAAGCGUUGGAAACGACGUCUAAUACCGGAUACGACGCGCGAAGGCAUCUUCUGCGCGUGGAAAGAAUUUCGGUCAAGGAUGGACUCGCGGCCUAUCAGCUAGUUGGUGAGGUAACGGCCCACCAAGGCGACGACGGGUAGCCGGCCUGAGAGGGUGACCGGCCACACUGGGACUGAGACACGGCCCAGACUCCUACGGGAGGCAGCAGUGGGGAAUAUUGCACAAUGGGCGCAAGCCUGAUGCAGCAACGCCGCGUGAGGGACGACGGCCUUCGGGUUGUAAACCUCUUUUAGUAGGGAAGAAGCGAAAGUGACGGUACCUGCAGAAAAAGCACCGGCUAACUACGUGCCAGCAGCCGCGGUAAUACGUAGGGUGCAAGCGUUAUCCGGAAUUAUUGGGCGUAAAGAGCUCGUAGGCGGUUUGUCACGUCUGCUGUGAAAACUGGAGGCUCAACCUCCAGCCUGCAGUGGGUACGGGCAGACUAGAGUGCGGUAGGGGAGAUUGGAAUUCCUGGUGUAGCGGUGGAAUGCGCAGAUAUCAGGAGGAACACCGAUGGCGAAGGCAGAUCUCUGGGCCGUAACUGACGCUGAGGAGCGAAAGCAUGGGGAGCGAACAGGAUUAGAUACCCUGGUAGUCCAUGCCGUAAACGUUGGGAACUAGAUGUAGGGACCAUUCCACGGUUUCUGUGUCGCAGCUAACGCAUUAAGUUCCCCGCCUGGGGAGUACGGCCGCAAGGCUAAAACUCAAAGGAAUUGACGGGGGCCCGCACAAGCGGCGGAGCAUGCGGAUUAAUUCGAUGCAACGCGAAGAACCUUACCAAGGCUUGACAUAUACGAGAACGGGCCAGAAAUGGUCAACUCUUUGGACACUCGUAAACAGGUGGUGCAUGGUUGUCGUCAGCUCGUGUCGUGAGAUGUUGGGUUAAGUCCCGCAACGAGCGCAACC
RNAcentral lists this ribosomal RNA (1035 nucleotides) under Herbiconiux ginsengi. RNAcentral describes it as "bacterial SSU rRNA". It matches the Rfam family "Bacterial small subunit ribosomal RNA", at positions 58 to 1103 of the family's 1533-position model. Lineage: Bacteria; Bacillati; Actinomycetota; Actinomycetes; Micrococcales; Microbacteriaceae. The record is from RNAcentral.